CCGACUCUUGUGACAUGUUUGAUCCAAUGAACUCGCUCCCCUUUUCCUGGAGCCUCAGCCUCUGGUGAAACUGGACUUUCAAGUCUGUGCAGGUGAAGGUGUGUGAGAGCGCCCGAGAUGGCAGAACAAGAGCUACAGGGUACAAGCCCGAGGGACGAGCUGCGCGGUGAUUGGCUGCGGGGCGGCCUCAGGUGAGCUGCCAUUGGCAGAGGCGCGCUCAGGUAAGGCCCUUCUCCAAGUGCAGGUAACUCACUCCGAAGUUUACCCGAGUGGAGCGGCGGCACGUUCGCGGCGCGGCGGCAGCCCGUGGGAGCCGAGGGGAUUAUGGGUGGAACGGAAGGACUAAGGAGAGCUGAACUCGGGAUCCCCAGCCAACCGGAAUCCGAGGCGCAACCACCGGGCUUUUUCGGGCCCACAAUUGAGAGGACUGUUCGACGGUUUCCGAAGAGUUUGAAGUUUACUUUACUCUGCUCAGAGGAGGGGAAAACACAACGAUUGCCGGGUUUGUUGCGUGAUUUCAUUUGUAACAUACCCACAACCAGCACUUUUCGUGCCCCAAUUUGGUGUAAAAUAUGCCCAGUAGAUUACAGCUUUUCUAAGAGGUGAGCAUCCUUUCGUGAGCUGGGCAGAUGAUCCCGGUGGGGUGAGGAGAUUUGGUUGAACAGGCCAUAAAUUGGCCCCUGGCGCACCUUUUUUCAUCUCACCUCUGCAGCUUGGGAUUCCAGCGCUGCAAACAACCACUGUUCAUAAGCCUGUUGUCUUUUGACGUUUCCAGGCAGACAUCAACAUUGACAUUGUAAUUCAGUAGAAGCUGUGACUACAAAGGUGCUUUAUCCUUCCAGGUUAAUAUGGUUGCUACGGAAACAAUUCAGGAUGAAGCUGACUUUUUUUGUGUGUGUGGUUCUGCUUCACUUGGUUGGAAACAACGCCAACUAGCAAAGGUGCAAUUCAUUUAUAAUCACUGCUCCCAAAGUGUGUUUGUGAAAGUUUUUUAUAGGGGUCUAGCCCAUACUUAUGAAUUGUGGAACUGAAGGGGGAUGUGAAAAGCUUACCAUAUGUUAUUCCAUGUUACAUUGCGAGAGUUCAUACAACUUUUAUUUUCAUCUUUAUGGAUCAGAUGUUUUCUAAAAAUUGCAUUGUGAAACAAUGUUUGGUUGUUCCGUGUUUUCACCUAUGGCAAAUGAAUUUCAAAAGUUUAUGCUUGCUUUUUAAAGACAUUAGAAGUACACACAGUUUUUAAAGGUAAUAUAAUAUGUUAAGGUUAUAUACAUUACCCACUUCUUCUUUACCUUCUUAAUCACCUUCUGAGAGGCAACCACAUUCCACUUGUAUCUGUCUCUUUUGUCAUUUACCUCCAGACUUAUCAAUAAAUGUCAUGGUUAUCUCUUGAUUGAUCUGUUUAGAUGUCCUACGUUGACUACCUGUUGCCUCAGAUAGAGAUGCAGCUUUUUCACACCCACCCAGCUUCCCCUUCUGCCAUUCCUCCCACACAGCCCUUUCACAGUUUAGAGGUAGUAAGUAGUUGGUGACUGUAUAUCAGUCAGCGGAGCCAGCUGGUGAACUAUGGCUGUUUUCCUUCUUAUAAAAUCUUUUACAUAUUUACUUUGUUAUGCACCCACCUGAUAUUUUUUCUACAACAUGUUGAUCAAAUAACUAUCAAUUUUAUUUUCCAAAUGAUCAAACAAUCAAUUUUAUCCCCAGCCCCCACCCCCGCAACAUCCCUCCAAGUCUUCUGUCCUCCUGUCCAAUGGAGAUGAGGUUUCUAAAUUGAAAUUGUUCAUUUAUAAGUUUGUAGAAAUUGCUCUUUUAUCUUCUAGCAUCCAAUGUUGCUGUUGAGAAUUUCAAUGCUACCCUUAUUCCAUUCUUUUGUGACCUGCAGUUUUUCUUUCUGGAAAUUUUUAGAAGAAUUCCUUUAACUCUUAUAUUCUGAAAUUUCAUAAUUAUGUACUGGGUCAAUGGCAAAGAUUUGCCUAAGUUCAAAUCAUGCCUCUACUACAUGACCUUGGGCAAGACACUUAUUCUUGGUAUGCUUCAGUUUCCUAAUUUAUAACAAUAGAGUAUAUAUAUGUAUUUUUACAUAUAUUAUAAUGGAAGUAACAACAGUAAUUUCCUCACUGAUAUACCUCAGCCACUUAGAAUAGUGCCUCAACACAUAGUAAGUUCCUUGAUUAUUGUCCACUCAUUUCUUUUUUUGAAACUCUUAGUUGGAUAUUGAAUCCUCUAGAUUAAUUUUAGAAUUUUUUUUCCUUUCCUUUGGAUAUCUCUUCAUCUUUUGUUCUAUUUGGGGGAAUAGUUCCUUACUUUACUUUCUAUUGAUGAUUUUAUCUCAGCUAUUCUAAGAACUCUUUUCAUGUUUUAUGUUAUUUUUUAAUGUUUUUAUUGAUUUUUAGAGAGAGAGCAGGGGAGAGAAAGAGAGAGAGAAACAAUGUGAGAGAGAAACAUUCAAUCAGCUGCCUCCUGCACAUCCCCCACUGGGGAUGGAGCCUGCAACCGGGGCAUGUGCCCUGACCCAGAAUCGAACCAACAACCUUUUGGUGCACGGAACAAUGCCCAACCAACUGAGCCACACCAGCCGGGGUGUUUUAUGUUAUUUUUAAAAUAGAUUUCUAUGAAUAUGUUAUGGUUGGAAUAAUUUCUUCUCUCUUUUGAGGACAGUUACUAUAGGGUUUUCUGCUUCUUGCCUUCUCUCUGCUUCCUUUUUCCCCAUGUAUUUGUUUUAGUCCCAUCAUGUUAGAGGCUUUCCUCAAAUGCCUGCAAACCUUUGACUAUUCAUACUUAAGAAGAAAGUCAUAAAACCCACCAGAGACUCUAUCUAUAGGGGGUGAGAAGGAGUGUACCUGCAUGUCAGUAGGUUUGACGUAUGGUGAUCAGGUGAAAGCUGGUCCUUCCAUAGGAAGAGCCCCCAAAUGUCAGAAAUGAGAGGUCUGAUCUUUUGGGCUCUUCAAUUUCUCAGAAGAAAUAUCUGUAUCUCUUUC
Long non-coding RNA from Myotis daubentonii (Daubenton's bat), 2975 nucleotides. RefSeq lists it as uncharacterized. NCBI's taxonomy places the organism in Eukaryota, Metazoa, Chordata, Mammalia, Chiroptera, Vespertilionidae. The record is from RefSeq and is a predicted model, not a curated record.